RNAcentral lists this ribosomal RNA (466 nucleotides) under uncultured bacterium. Its description in RNAcentral is "partial 16S ribosomal RNA". It matches the Rfam family "Bacterial small subunit ribosomal RNA", at positions 28 to 507 of the family's 1533-position model. The record is from RNAcentral.
GAUGAACGCUGGCGGCGUGCUUAACACAUGCAAGUCGAACGAUGAAGCCCAGCUUGCUGGGUGGAUUAGUGGCGAACGGGUGAGUAACACGUGAGUAACCUGCCCUUAACUCUGGGAUAAGCCUGGGAAACUGGGUCUAAUACCGGAUAGGAGCGUCCACCGCAUGGUGGGUGUUGGAAAGAUUUAUCGGUUUUGGAUGGACUCGCGGCCUAUCAGCUUGUUGGUGAGGUAAUGGCUCACCAAGGCGACGACGGGUAGCCGGCCUGAGAGGGUGACCGGCCACACUGGGACUGAGACACGGCCCAGACUCCUACGGGAGGCAGCAGUGGGGAAUAUUGCACAAUGGGCGAAAGCCUGAUGCAGCGACGCCGCGUGAGGGAUGACGGCCUUCGGGUUGUAAACCUCUUUCAGAAGGGAAGAAGCGAAAGUGACGGUACCUGCAGAAGAAGCACCGGCUAACUACGUG